UGUUGUCUUCACUCUGCCUUACAUCACCCUAGAGGAGGAUAUAAACCCUGAGACUUCUCCACAUUCAGUCCACUUUUACUCAAACCCUGAAGUCAGCAGUCUUUUCAUUGAAAGAAAGUCACCUUAACAUCAACAAUGAUGAUCCUUUUCUUACUGGUUCUGCAUUCAGGAUUUCUGCAGUUUAUUUUUACAACAAAUCGUCUACGAUCUUUUAGAGAAACUGGAAAACUGCAAUGGAAUGAUUCUCUGAAGAAUUGUACAGAUACGGGUGGAUCACUCAUCACCUUGUAUGAUGAAGAUGAUGCUGGUUUUGUAGAAAAUUAUAGAAAGGCUAAAUCGCCAACUGUCUGGCUUGGCCUGCACAAGGAUCGAAUCAAUGUUUCCACCUGGUCAAAUGGCAAAGUACCUACAAUGUCUGAGUUUACAACACCUUCAAGUUUAGAAGAAGGGCAAUUAUGUGGAGCAGCUGAGGGCGG
Molecule: long non-coding RNA, 476 nt
Organism: Melanotaenia boesemani (Boeseman's rainbowfish)
Lineage: Eukaryota; Metazoa; Chordata; Actinopteri; Atheriniformes; Melanotaeniidae
Exons: 3
Source: RefSeq, a predicted model, not a curated record